Molecule: long non-coding RNA, 368 nt
Filed under: Pan troglodytes (chimpanzee)
Lineage: Eukaryota; Metazoa; Chordata; Mammalia; Primates; Hominidae
Description: long non-coding RNA NONPTRT006294
Source: RNAcentral
CGCCCCCGGCCCCGCCCCCGCCCGCAGGCCCCCCGCAGCGGCCGCGGCGCCCCCCGGCGCCCCCAGACCCCGGCCUCCGGCACAGAGGCGGGAGACCCGGAGCAGCAGCAGAGGCAGGAGGACUAGGAGGAGGAGGAGGAGCCGUCGCAGGAUGAAGGAUCGGACUCAAGAGCUGCGGAGUGUGCCACCCCACCCUGGGCCAGGUCGGGCCCUGUGGGACGGGAGAAAUAGCAACCAAUCCAACAGCGGGUGUGCCGUGUGCUCACUUCCUUCUGUCCCCACGUGGGAUGGGCGCCGUGGGGAGGCGGACAUGGGGUGGGGGGACGGGAGGGGGAGCUGGACAGACAGAUGGACACGGUCGUGGAUGA